UCUCUCUUAGGUCAGUUGGUAGAGCGCAUCACUAGUAUGUGCCACAAGAGUCGACUGAUGACGAGGUCAGUCGUUCAAGUCGGCUAGAGGGAA
RNAcentral lists this transfer RNA (93 nucleotides) under Armillaria gallica. Its description in RNAcentral is "tRNA-Thr". The record is from RNAcentral. Lineage: Eukaryota; Fungi; Basidiomycota; Agaricomycetes; Agaricales; Physalacriaceae.